Vigna angularis (adzuki bean) is the source of this 255-nucleotide long non-coding RNA. RefSeq lists it as uncharacterized. The record is from RefSeq and is a predicted model, not a curated record. The transcript has 3 exons. Lineage: Eukaryota; Viridiplantae; Streptophyta; Magnoliopsida; Fabales; Fabaceae.
GCCCCAACGAUCACAAAGUAGCGGGUGUUGCUCUUAGUCGAUCAAUUUUCUCUAAUCUGAACCGGUGAUUCUAACAUUUUGAAAGUGCAAGCAAGUGGUCUAGGGUUCCUACUUGAGCUUGGUUGUCUACACUAGAGUAGGUGAUGGUGUACCUUUGGAGCAAGCUUUGGAAGUUGAGGAAGACCCAGCACCUAGUGCUUAGGAUUUCUACUAGCUCUUAUGUUAUAUAGCUCUUCAUUUUGAAAGACUUCUAGA